GUCGAGAAUCUUCGGCAAUGGGCGCAAGCCUGACCGAGCGACGCCGCGUGGAGGACGAAGGCCUUCGGGUUGUAAACUCCUGUCGAGGGGGAGGAAGGUUCGCAAGAGCUUGACCGAUCCCUGGAGGAAGCACGGGCUAAGUUCGUGCCAGCAGCCGCGGUAAGACGAACCGUGCGAACGUUAUUCGGAAUCACUGGGCUUAAAGCGCGUGUAGGCGGGACGGCACGUCGGCCGCUGAAAUCCCCCGGCUUAACCGGGGAAGUGGCGCCGAUACGACCGUCCUGGAGGGACGUAGGGGGGCCUGGAACUUCCGGUGGAGCGGUGAAAUGCGUUGAGAUCGGAAGGAACGCCCGUGGCGAAAGCGAGGCCCUGGACGUCUGCUGACGCUGAGACGCGAAAGCCAGGGGAGCGAACGGG
This 417-nucleotide ribosomal RNA is filed under the name uncultured Planctomycetaceae bacterium. Its description in RNAcentral is "bacterial SSU rRNA". It matches the Rfam family "Bacterial small subunit ribosomal RNA", at positions 354 to 776 of the family's 1533-position model. The record is from RNAcentral. Lineage: Bacteria; Pseudomonadati; Planctomycetota; Planctomycetia; Planctomycetales; Planctomycetaceae.